GGAUUGUAGCACAGUGGUAGAGUGCUUGCCUAGCAUGUGUGAGGCACUGGGUUCAAUCCUCAGCACCA
RNAcentral lists this transfer RNA (68 nucleotides) under Marmota monax (woodchuck). RNAcentral describes it as "tRNA.Ala". Lineage: Eukaryota; Metazoa; Chordata; Mammalia; Rodentia; Sciuridae. The record is from RNAcentral.